AAAGGGAGACCUAAUUCCAGUAGGAGACGAAAAAAAAGUAGUCCCUACCAAGAAUCAAUCCCAAAAGGUCGGAGCGAGGCAAAAUUGGCUUUCAAACUAGGUUCUGGGUUCACACAAGACCUGAAUCAGGAACAAGGGCUAUUAGCUCAGGUGGUUAGAGCGCACCCCUGAUAAGGGUGAGGUCCCUGGUUCGAGUCCAGGAUGGCCCACCUGCACAGGUGGAAGAAAGAAAAGAAGCUCCGAAUCAGCACCUUAUCCUACUUAUAUAGUAAGAGAGAAUGCUGGCUCUGAGUACAGAGUCCAGAGGAACCUUGAAAACUGCAUAGAGCUAGGUGAAAAAGCCAAAAAAGAAGACCGCAAG
This 361-nucleotide transfer RNA is filed under the name uncultured Microcystis sp. RNAcentral's name for it is "partial 16S-23S ribosomal RNA intergenic spacer". The stretch from base 136 to 209 matches the Rfam family "tRNA". Lineage: Bacteria; Bacillati; Cyanobacteriota; Cyanophyceae; Chroococcales; Microcystaceae. The record is from RNAcentral.